Molecule: ribosomal RNA, 500 nt
Filed under: uncultured bacterium
Lineage: Bacteria
Description: partial 16S ribosomal RNA
Rfam family: Bacterial small subunit ribosomal RNA
Source: RNAcentral
AUUGAACGCUGGCGGAAUGCUUUACACAAGCAAGUCGAACGGCAGCACGGGGGCAACCCUGGUGGCGAGUGGCGAACGGGUGAGUAAUACAUCGGAACGUGCCCAGUCGUGGGGGAUAACGUAGCGAAAGUUACGCUAAUACCGCAUACGAUCUACGGAUGAAAGCGGGGGACCGUAAGGCCUCGCGCGAUUGGAGCGGCCGAUGUCAGAUUAGGUGGUUGGUGAGGUAAAGGCUAACCAAGCCGACGAUCUGUAGGUGGUCUGAGAGGGCGACCAGCAAGACUGGGACUGAGACACGGCCCAGACUCCUCCGGGAGGCAGCAGUGGGGAAUUUUGGACAAUGGGCGCAAGCCUGAUCCAGCCAUUCCGCGUGCAGGACGAAGGCCUUCGGGUUGUAAACUGCUUUUGUACGGAACGAAAAGGCUCUGGUUACUACCUGGGGCUCAUGACGGUACCGUAAGAAUAAGCACCGGCUAACUACGUGCCAGCCGCCGCCGUAA